This 301-nucleotide ribosomal RNA is filed under the name uncultured bacterium. RNAcentral describes it as "partial 16S ribosomal RNA". It matches the Rfam family "Bacterial small subunit ribosomal RNA", at positions 509 to 808 of the family's 1533-position model. The record is from RNAcentral.
CAGCCGCCGCGGGAAUACGUAGGUGGCAAGCGUUGUCCGGAAUUAUUGGGCGUAAAGCGCGCGCAGGCGGAUCAGUUAGUCUGUCUUAAAAGUUCGGGGCUUAACCCCGUGAUGGGAUGGAAACUGCUGAUCUAGAGUAUCGGAGAGGAAAGUGGAAUUCCUAGUGUAGCGGUGAAAUGCGUAGAUAUUAGGAAGAACACCAGUGGCGAAGGCGACUUUCUGGACGAAAACUGACGCUGAGGCGCGAAAGCCAGGGGAGCGAACGGGAUUAGAGACCCGCGUAGUCCCUGUCUCUUAUACC